Molecule: ribosomal RNA, 460 nt
Filed under: uncultured bacterium
Lineage: Bacteria
Description: partial 16S ribosomal RNA
Rfam family: Bacterial small subunit ribosomal RNA
Source: RNAcentral
GACGAACGCUGGCGGCGUGCUUAACACAUGCAAGUCGAGCGGUAAGGCCUCUUCGGGGGUACACGAGCGGCGAACGGGUGAGUAACACGUGGGUGACCUGCCCUCAGCUCUGGGAUAAGCCUGGGAAACUGGGUCUAAUACCGGAUAUGACCUUUCCUCGCAUGGGGUUUGGUGGAAAGUUUUUUCGGCUGGGGGUGGGCCCGCGGCCUAUCAGCUUGUUGGUGGGGUGAUGGCCUACCAAGGCGACGACGGGUAGCCGGCCUGAGAGGGCGACCGGCCACACUGGGACUGAGACACGGCCCAGACUCCUACGGGAGGCAGCAGUGGGGAAUAUUGCGCAAUGGGCGGAAGCCUGACGCAGCGACGCCGCGUGAGGGAUGACGGCCUUCGGGUUGUAAACCUCUUUCGACCCCGACGAAUUUGGACGGUAGGGGUAGAAGAAGCACCGGCCAACUACGUG